UAGACAAAUCAUACAGAGUCCAACUUACAUUGUUAGGGCUAAAAUUGGUACUCCACCUCAAACUUUGCUUUUGGCUAUGGAUACUAGUAAUGAUGCUGCUUGGAUUCCUUGUACUGCUUGUGAUGGUUGUGCUUCAACUUUGUUUGCUCCUGAAAAAUCAACUACAUUUAAGAAUGUUAGUUGUGCUGCUCCUGAAUGCAAACAGGUAUUUACUUCACUAACAAAGACACAUUUUUUUGUCAAGGUUUUCGUGACUAGGUAUAUUUUUAUAUUGGCGUAAAUUUGAUAAAAUUAUGAUAGUACUAUGAUUUCGUGAAACUUUAAAAUGUAGUUUUUGUUAAAAAAUUACGAAGGUUCAUCUUGAUUCUGAUAAUCUCAUCACCGUGAAUCUAAACAUUGGAAGAAAAUUAUGGUUUUAAAUUGUGGUUGUGG
Molecule: long non-coding RNA, 432 nt
Filed under: Medicago truncatula (barrel medic)
Lineage: Eukaryota; Viridiplantae; Streptophyta; Magnoliopsida; Fabales; Fabaceae
Description: long non-coding RNA (MTRU_LNC001145)
Source: RNAcentral